UUAAGCCAUUUGAUUCGGGUCUUUAAAUCAAAUAGCACCACCCACUAUUUUUGGCAAAUUCCAUAUCCCUCAAUGGAAUUCGAGAGUUAUGUUGAACUCUUAGCGGAGUAUGGGAGGCUCACCAUUACCAAGCCCACCUCAGAAGAAUAUCAUAUUGGCUAGCAACAAUAAUGAUGAGAGGAUAACGCUUUAGCCAUUUACAACUUUUAUAAUUACCCAUCUAGUUUGGCCUCUAGAGAAUGAUGUCUCAGAAGAAUAUCAUAUUGGCACCAUUGCACUUAGUUAAGUCAUUCCCACCAUGCUAGUUCAAGUAGAGGGUUCAAGAAUGGCCUCAGAAGAAUAUCAUAUUGACCGUACUCGUUGCCUACCUUCACUUCAUCAUAUGUUUAUAGGAUUCUCCUGAAUGUAAGCACAUACUUUGCAUACCCCAGAAUUGGACGAAUACGGUGUAUGAGUCACAAACGAUUGAAGCCCACCAUGGUGGAAGGCCACGAAAGAGUGUUCAAGCACUCUCACGCUUAUCAACUUAAUAAUAGUUUGGUUGAGGGUUUUAGGUCUCAUCAUAUAUAAACAUUCAUUUUAAUCUAUUAAAACCAUUUGGUCCUAUUACAACUAUUGGUCCAUGUGAUUGAUUUAGUAGUAUAUAAUACUCCCACUAAGCUUGUAAAACGGUUUUUAAAGCAAGAGUAUAUGGUACUACUAACAUAAGGUUUGCAUUCAUUGAUGGACUAUAUAGUUGCCUUAGGGCCUUAGGAUGAUUAUGAACCUUUGAUAAGAUCCAACACGCGCCUAGUGUUGAAUCUCGGUCUAGGGAUGGUGAUUGAUUUUAGUUACGCGUUUAAUCACAUUAAGGCGUCUUGUCUUAUUGGGCGUUGGACCCGCUACUUCAUUUUCAUGCAUAUCAAAUAAAACAAGAAAAUGAGUACUUCAAAGUAAAGAAGAGCUUAUGCUCUUUUACAACAUUUGAAUAAUACAAAUUACUUUAAAGUAAAGAAGAGCUUAUGCUCUUUUACAACAUUUGAUCAAAUCAAAUUACAACCAAAAUCUAAUCUACACAUUCCCAUGGUUCAAACAAAUUUGAAACGGCCUUUCACAUAACUCAAUCAUCUUAGGCUUAGGUUCAUAAUCACCCUUUAAUUAAUUAACGCUUUAACUAAUUAAACUUGAAUGCAACAUUGUCAUUUGGUUUUUUGUAUCCAUAAAAUUGAUUUAAAUGGAGCUAGAUGAAAUGAAAAUCAAAUUCUCAUUUAAAGAGACAAAACCAUUUUGUUCUCAACUUAAUUUGGGCCAUAAUGCAAUAACCUCAACUUUUGGGCUAUGUUGCAAAACUUAAACUUUUGAGGUCACUUUGUAAAAACACAAAAGUCCACUACUUCAUGUAAUUACAACUAGAACCCAAAAAUUUCAUCAAAUACAAAAACUUCAUUAAAGGAGCAAAACAAUUUGACCUUUAGCGUUUUUGGGCCUUUACGUAAAAACGUAAACUUUUGGGUCAAACUUGCAAAUACACAAAAGUACCAAAACUUUAUGUAAUUGCAUAAAAGCCCCAAAAGCCCCCCACUUGUAGGGUGGCCGGUUUUAGAGAGAAUGAGGAAUGCAAAAUUUUGAAAUUUUUCAACAAAGUCAUAAAGCCAUGCAAGUGGUGUGUGUGACAUAAAUUCAUGCAAGUGGUGUGUGUGUGUAAGAGAAGUACUUCUUACACACCCAUCACCAUUUCUAUCACCUUUCAAAUUUCAAUCACAUUAAAACAUUUGAUAAAGCACAAACCAAAGACUUUAUGAAAUAAAUCAAAACUUUGAAUCAAAACACCAAACUUUUUGUUCUUGGCUAAAAUGUCAAGAACAAUGAAGAACAUUCAUGAAAAACCCAUAAAAGCUUCAUGAACAUUUUUCAUCCAAAGACAUCCCAAAAACACUCAAACUUAAGGGAAAUAACAUAUAACCAAACUAGGGUACAUGGAGGUUCCAAAAGUUACUUGAAAACACUUUUAACAAGUCAAACAUGAACCCAAAAAUCCACCCUUUGGAUUUGG
This 2032-nucleotide long non-coding RNA is filed under the name Malus domestica (apple). RNAcentral's name for it is "long non-coding RNA (MDOM_LNC009251)". The record is from RNAcentral. Lineage: Eukaryota; Viridiplantae; Streptophyta; Magnoliopsida; Rosales; Rosaceae.